Molecule: long non-coding RNA, 1355 nt
Organism: Actinia tenebrosa (Australian red waratah sea anemone)
Lineage: Eukaryota; Metazoa; Cnidaria; Anthozoa; Actiniaria; Actiniidae
Source: RefSeq, a predicted model, not a curated record
AGACUUUAACUAAAGGUAAGUACUGUUGUACUUACGGGACAUCAUCUUAAGCCUGGUUCACACAAGCAACAAAAAACAAAUGCAAACCCAGACAACAUACGUAGAUUCAGUAGUGUUCUGCCCAUUGCCAGUACUUGUUUUUCUCUCACCUCAGUGAAAACUGCAGUACUGAGGCUGCGUAUGUUGCGUUUGUUGAGUCUGCGUAUGUUGCGUUUGCGUUGCUCAUAUGAUCCAGGCUCAAAGGGAAAACUGGGAAAGCCAUAAUUACGCCAUACCCUUAUGCAAAAAAGUACUAUUUGGUUUCAUCAUCAUCUCUUAUGCCUGGGUGGCAUUAGUAUUUGGUUUGACAAGCAAUAAAUGACAGGCCAACCCAUCUCAAUGGGAUGGUUUUUAUGAGCUAAAAAUUAAAAGCUUAGUUAUAGCAUCUGCGAGGGAAAAGCAUGCUAGGAGCUCUCAUGCUUUGCCUGGAAGGUGCUUAGGAUAGUUACGCAUCUGUGAGGGGAAAUAGCCAUGGUAAUUCCAUGCCUACCACCCGGAAGGUGCUUAGUUAUGGCAUCUGCGAGGGAAGGGCAUAUAUGUCUGACCCGGAAGGUGCUUAGGAUUAAUUUUGAAAUGAAUUAAAAUCUGUUUUGAACAUCAGUGCGUUGGGGAUUAUGUGUAAUUGGGGUUGAUAUUAGCGCCUCUUACACAUAAACCCAAUCAAAUGAAUAUGAUGCUCUGUUUUUCCUUCUUUUCCAUUUCAGAUUGACCCCAGCAAGCAAGUAUUUUUGGCAAGAAGAAUAGAUAYAUGUAAAUAAGUAAAUAAUAAUAUGCAAAUAUUUAAAUGUGCAAAUGGCAUAUGAAAGAUAUGAAACUAUGAUCAAAAAUGGAGUGMAGACAAUAUAUCCAUGAAACAGAUCUAUAUAGUUAGCACUAAAUAGCACUAUAAAAACACUAGAGUGCAUUCAGUAAACCCGUGAAAUACGCGUAGUUAUUUAGCCGUACAUGCCUGUAACUAAUGCUACUUACGGUUACGCGUAUAUUUCACGRGUUUACUGACUGCACUCUGGAAAACACUGAAUAGUGUUUGCACUAUCCUUUCACUUCGAUUAAAACUUACUUUUUGCCGGCAUAAAAUCAAUUGGGGUAGAUGUUGACUCUCCCUCUUCCCCUGGACCAGUGUUGUUGGUAUAGAAGUUUAUGCGUUUGUUCGUUACCUUUAUUGAAAUUUGUAAGAUAGAUUUUGUAAGUUCCCUGUUUGGAUAAUAUUCUGGUUUGACGUCUUUUGUAAAAUAUAUCAUUUUCUGUGUGUGAGUAUUUGUAUAUAUACAUUGUUAACACAUACUGCUACCAAUAAAAGACGUUAUUUCUUAUUG